RNAcentral lists this ribosomal RNA (372 nucleotides) under uncultured bacterium. RNAcentral describes it as "bacterial SSU rRNA". It matches the Rfam family "Bacterial small subunit ribosomal RNA", at positions 524 to 898 of the family's 1533-position model. The record is from RNAcentral.
UACGGAGGAUCCAAGCGUUAUCCGGAUUUAUUGGGUUUAAAGGGUGCGUAGGCGGUCCUAUAAGUCAGUGGUGAAAGACGGCAGCUUAACUGUCGCAGUGCCUUUGAUACUGUAGGACUUGAAUCUAUUUGAAGUGGGCGGAAUAAGACAAGUAGCGGUGAAAUGCAUAGAUAUGUCUUAGAACUCCGAUUGCGAAGGCAGCUCACUAAGUUAGUAUUGACGCUGAUGCACGAAAGCGUGGGGAUCAAACAGGAUUAGAUACCCUGGUAGUCCACGCCCUAAACGAUGAUAACUCGAUGUUUGCGAUACACAGUAAGCGUCCAAGCGAAAGCGUUAAGUUAUCCACCUGGGGAGUACGGUCGCAAGAUUGAA